AGGACGAACGCUGGCGGCGUGCUUAACACAUGCAAGUCGAGCGGUAAGGCCUUUCGGGGUACACGAGCGGCGAACGGGUGAGUAACACGUGGGUGAUCUGCCCUGCACUUCGGGAUAAGCCUGGGAAACUGGGUCUAAUACCGGGUAUGACCUCAGGUUGCAUGACUUGGGGUGAAAGAUUUAUCGGUGCAGGAUGGGCCCGCGGCCUAUCAGCUUGUUGGUGGGGUAACGCCUACCAAGGCGACGACGGGUAGCCGACCUGAGAGGGUGACCGGCCACACUGGGACUGAGACACGGCCCAGACUCCUACGGGAGGCAGCAGUGGGGAAUAUUGCACAAUGGGCGAAAGCCUGAUGCAGCGACGCCGCGUGAGGGAUGACGGCCUUCGGGUUGUAAACCUCUUUCAGCAGGACGAAGCGCAAGUGACGGUACCUGCAGAAGAAGCGCCGGCUAACUACGUGCCAGCAGCCG
RNAcentral lists this ribosomal RNA (471 nucleotides) under uncultured soil bacterium. RNAcentral describes it as "bacterial SSU rRNA". It matches the Rfam family "Bacterial small subunit ribosomal RNA", at positions 26 to 517 of the family's 1533-position model. The record is from RNAcentral.